This 253-nucleotide ribosomal RNA is filed under the name uncultured prokaryote. RNAcentral's name for it is "partial 16S ribosomal RNA". It matches the Rfam family "Bacterial small subunit ribosomal RNA", at positions 525 to 777 of the family's 1533-position model. The record is from RNAcentral.
ACAGAGGGGGCAAGCGUUGUUCGGAAUUACUGGGCGUAAAGGGCGCGUAGGCGGCCUUCUAAGUCAGACGUGAAAUCCCCGGGCUCAACCCGGGAACUGCGUCUGAUACUGGAAGGCUUGAAUCCGGGAGAGGGAUGUGGAAUUCCAGGUGUAGCGGUGAAAUGCGUAGAUAUCGGGAGGAACACCUGUGGCGAAAGCGGCGCACUGGACCACAACUGACGCUGAGGCGCGAAAGCUAGGGGAGCAAACAGGA